CAACAGGAAGUAUACAGAAUGGUGUCGUCUGCGUAAAGGUGGAUCAGAGAAUCACCAGCAGCAAGAGCGACAUCAUUUAUGUAUACAGAGAAAAGAGUCAGCCCGAGAAUUGAACCCUGUGGCACCCCAUAGAGACUGCCAGAGGUCCGGACAACAGGACCUCCGAUUUGACACACUGAACUCUGUCUGAGAAGUAGUUGGUGAACCAGGCGAGGCAGUCAUUUGAGAAACCAAGGCUAUUGAGUCUGCCGAUAAGAAUGCGGUGAUUGACAGAGGAGAAUGAGAACCUGCGCAGUCGGGUGCAGCAGCUGGAGAGUUCCCUGCAGCAGCGGGCUGAUCAGUUGUCUCACCUGGAGCGACAGAGCGAACAAAGCGAGUGGAGGAGAGGAGAGGAGCAGAGGAGAAGAGAGGAGAGAGUGAGGGAGCUGCAGCUAGAGCUGGAUAAAGAGAGGGCCAAAGAGCCACAGGUCAAGAUUGUCACUCAAACUGUGGAGGUGGAGUCACCGGCGACGCUGAGGCAGUUGGCUGAGGCCAGAGAGAGGAACGAGCAGCUGUCAGAGAAACUGACCAAUCAGAACGAGAAGUGCAGACAACUGGAGGAGCACAUCAGGAAGUCAGAUGAAUUCAGCUGUAAUCUGCAACACAAGAUUGCAGCGUACGAGCGGGAGAUCAGUGUGCUGCAGGAGGAACUGCUGAAGGAGAUAGGUCACCUGGAGGAGAAGAAGGAGGAGGCUGUAAAGGCUGCAGCGACCUGCUCCGUAG
Molecule: long non-coding RNA, 762 nt
Filed under: Salmo salar (Atlantic salmon)
Lineage: Eukaryota; Metazoa; Chordata; Actinopteri; Salmoniformes; Salmonidae
Description: lncRNA (ENSSSAG00000119898.1)
Source: RNAcentral